UGGCGCACGGGUGAGUAACGCGUGGGAACCUGCCCCUGGGUACGGGACAACGUCUGGAAACGGGCGCUAAUACCGUAUACGUCCUUCGGGAGAAAGAUUUAUCGCCCUGGGAGGGGCCCGCGUCCGAUUAGCUUGUCGGUGGGGUAAUGGCCUACCAAGGCGACGAUCGGUAGCUGGUCUGAGAGGAUGAUCAGCCACACUGGGACUGAGACACGGCCCAGACUCCUGCGGGAGGCAGCAGUGGGGAAUAUUGGACAAUGGGGGCAACCCUGAUCCAGCAAUGCCGCGUGUGUGAUGAAGGCCUUAGGGUUGUAAAGCACUUUCACUGGUGAAGAUGAUGACGGUAUCCAGAGAAGAAGCCCCGGCUAACUCCGUGCCAGCAGCCGCGGUAAUACGGAGGGGGCAAGCGUGGUUCGGAAUUACUGGGCGUAAAGGGCGUGCAGGCUGUGAUUUAAGUUGGGCGUGAAAGCCCGGGGCUCAACCCC
RNAcentral lists this ribosomal RNA (485 nucleotides) under uncultured bacterium. Its description in RNAcentral is "bacterial SSU rRNA". It matches the Rfam family "Bacterial small subunit ribosomal RNA", at positions 96 to 616 of the family's 1533-position model. The record is from RNAcentral.